Cavia porcellus (domestic guinea pig) is the source of this 8500-nucleotide long non-coding RNA. RefSeq lists it as uncharacterized. The record is from RefSeq and is a predicted model, not a curated record. The transcript has 2 exons. NCBI's taxonomy places the organism in Eukaryota, Metazoa, Chordata, Mammalia, Rodentia, Caviidae.
UGUUGCAUAUUGUUAUCUUCAAAAGGAUUGCUUAGUUGACCAGACACAGACAUGCAUAAUUGAUCUAGUCGCAUGAGUGUUAACUGUUCUUUUCUAAGAACUCAUAGAAUGAGUAGUAUAGUCAUCUUAGCUACCUUACGCAUGUAUAUACUAAUUUAUGUCUUUUCCCUUCCUCCUUUCAUUGUGGUCUCUUUCUGCAGCAGUUGUGACGUCCUCUUCUGCGAAUGUCUUCAGUGGCACCGUCCUGGCUACUUUGAUGCCUGAACUGAUUCGAGACAUUGGCCUUUCGGGGUUAUCUUGACCUCAGGGAAGGGGACUUCCAGACCUGCUUCAGAAAGUGGCACACACUGGGGUGGGAGGACAGAGUGAAUACAAGCAACAGGACAAGCACAUGGUUAUACAUGCGGGUGAGAGUCAGCGACGUGGGGCAGGACAGGGUGGCCCGAGGAGAGAUCUGGGUGCCAGGCCCUCAGGAUGGACUCAGCUGUGGAAAAGCCCAGGGGCAGAGGCUCAGACACUCGCCAAUGAUGCCUGCCAUGCUCUGGCAAAUGAAAACCUGAGUGUACCCUGCCGGGGGUGGGGGGGGCAGUCAGAGCCCUCUGGCUGGAGUCCCAGCAGAUGGAGCCCCCAAAGGACUGUGACCUCCAUCUCGGCACACGUUCAGCAUCUGCCAUGGUGCAGACAGCAGGACAAGCAGCUCUGUCACCCACUGUGUGGACGUGACAGCUGCUGUGCCCACUGAAGGGACCACUCCGCAUGCAUAACUCUGACCCUCCUGGACCCCUGGCCCACACUCUCAGGGGUGACGGGUGACAGUGGGGCAUGGACCUCUCACUUGGUGCACCUGGCCGCCACCCCUGGGUGGCAGAGGGUAGCAGUGGUCACAAGGAGGAGGUGGAGCAGGGAUGAAAGGGGAGGCCAGAUCGGACCUGAGACCCCAGGGAACAGGGAGGUGGCGGGAGGUGGGACACAGCUUUGCCAAGGUUCCAAGCCAAUCAGGCUUUGCUUACAAAACAUAACGCCAAGGACAGAAUGACUGAAAAAUCCAAGAUGGCAGUGCUCACUGAGCAUCUGACCCCAGGCAUGCAGCACCUCCCUGAGCACAGGGCCCCAGGGGUCGCAUGUGGACAUGACACAAGGCCACCAAGACCUUUUGUGGGUGUUGGGAAGCAGAGUGCCAGGUGAGGGGCAGGCGUUUGUGGGUCACUGUAAAGGUUUAGCGCUCCGCUUUGGGUUCAGGGUAAUCAGCAAGGAGUUUAAAGAAGGGAAGUGAUGUGCAUAGUCCUGGCAGGUCGAGGAUGGUGGCUUAGGGACAGGAUGCACAGAAGUGGUGGGUGAGAGACACGUUGGGUAAGAGUGGAGGAGGUCAGGAAGUGGGAGCCCCAGGAGCAGGAAGGACAAGCAGGGCCAGUGCUGGGGCUGCAGGGAAAGGGACACAUGUGGUGGGUGGAUAGAAUGAUGGUCAGAUCAACAAGACUGGGCAGUUCUCUCAGCCAGGGGCCUGGGACCGUUAGGUCUGCAAAUGCCAUUUCAUUGUCAUGCUUUUUUCCAUCUGGUGAAGUAAGUGGUGUAAGCUGAGCUCUUCUCUGUCAUCCUAGCAAGUUGUCUGUCACCUGUGUAAACCCCCCAGACCCUGGCGUGGGUGCCCAGCCGGGCAGCGUGCAGCAGGAAUCAUCAGGGAAGCCAGUGAAGGCUGUAAGUGUGGCUUCUGCCUCCUGCAGCUCACCUGCUCUUCCAAUCCAAACCAAGAAGCUGGGUGUGGCCCACAAUCCCAGCACUCUGGGAGGCUGAGGCAGGAGGAUUGGAGGUUCAAGCCCAGGCUGGGCAAUUUAGUAAGACUCCGUCUCUAAGUAAAAAACAUUUAAAAGGCUGAGAUAUAGUUCACUGUAAAAGUCCUGAGUUCAAUUUCUUGUUCCAUAGUGGGGAGUGGAGAGAGAAACCAAGUAGGAGCAAAAGUGAGCCCACAGGAGGAGGUACAGACUGGGGUGAACAGGACGGGAAGCACAGGGUCACAGCUGAGAAACCGACCUGUGCCUCAGUUGCCUUGAUGCCCCCUUUCCCUCUGCUCUGGGACUGGCAGGAGGCUCCCGGCUGUUCUGGGCAGAGGCUACAGCUGGGUUUCCCGUUGGCUUUCACAUAACCUGCACGGUCUCCCUUUUGGAAACCAACAAACCAGCCAAAAAUUCCCAAGCAUGAUGGAGUCACAGAGGGGAGGUGGGGAUGGGGGCAGUGAGAGGGGGCAGAGGAGAGAGAGGGUGAGGUUUGGGGACCCGGCGUCCAGUGGGAAGCAGCCACCAGCUGUCCAAGCCUGGGACGCCAGGUCCUGAGGCUUCGUGGUCCUGACUCAGCCUCCCCAGCGGUCCCUCUGGGGCCACUAUUAGAAUCGGUCCCACCAUUUCAUCCCUCCCUGGUGGCACUGGUGGGAGCACUGGAAAGCUUAAUGGGAAGAAAGUAAAGUACAAGUGAUGUCCCGACUUACUAGUUUAGAACAACAGAGGACAGGAAAAGGCACCUACCUGCAGGAGGAGACCCGCCUGCCUCUGUCCCCCAGUGGCUGAGCCUGUCUCUAGUUCUCUGCCCCUGAUUCACUGGGGACAAACAGCAGGGAGAAGCCAGCUUUUUGCACAGUGCCUGCAGGAAAUGAAAGAGAACUUCCUGAAGAAAUCAGUCUGUGAUGCUCAGGGUUGGAAGGAGUGAGCUGGUUUCUUCCCUAUGGAGUGUUACACACAUUAAGGCGCACUGUGAUUCUUCCAGAAGGGCGGAUGCCCAGGCUGGCUUCCUACUCAGCAGCUUUGUUCGCUGCUCUUCUUGGCUUGAUUUGUUGGGUUAGCAGACCUGUGUGUCUCCCCAGUCCCGAGAAGAUAAGUUGAAGUGUUCCCUCGCUUCUAGGUACAGAUACAUGAUGCAGUUCUGUAAGUAAUGAACGUGAUGGGAAUCCAGGCAUGGGGACUUCCAGAAGGGUUAUCUCAGCUCUUAAAACACAAGGCAGGUGUUUGCCUCUUCUGUCUUAGUACACUGCUGUGUGAAGACCUGAGUUUGGAGCUGUGGCAGCCGUGUUGGACUCAGGAGGGGAAAGCCAAGAAAAUUUCAGAGAAGCUGGUCUUGACCUUUGGAGUUGUUAAGCUGUUGCAAAAUUCCCCCUUCUUUCAUGGUCCUUUCAAUUUGUCUCUUUGUUUGCGCCAUGGCAUGUUUUGUGGUUUUCAAUUUAGGCCAUCUGGAACCACAGGGGAAAAAUCUAUUUCUCGAACUCAUCCCCAAUUCCUUGAACCCCUAAAGUAAUAAACAGGUGUGCCCUCAGUAGUGUUAAAGCAGUGAGGGAAGUAGUCCUGUUUCAAAGUCUCGUUUUUGCCUAAGAGUCCUAACCAUUCCAAAAACAAACAAACAAGCAAAACCAAUCUGUGUUCCCAGGCCUCAAAGCCUUCACAGAACCUCUGCCUCUGCUCAGUGGCUCUGGAGCCUCGGGGAGCACUCGGGGUGCUAGGUGUCCAGCCCACCCAAAGCUGGCGAUCUCCAGUGUAGAUUUGCUCUGGAGCCAAGGGGAUGGAGUUCCUCCUUCCAGAGCCCUGGCUGACACUCAGGAAGGCAGGUGGGACACGGCAGAGACAGUGCCAUCUGUCUGUCUGUCUAUCCGUCCGUCUGCCUCUUUACCUCUCUGUUGAGACAUUUUAUGUGCGUUCAUACAUUAAAUCCUAGAAAAGAAAGCCCAGGACUCCCCGCCCACAAUCCCCUACCACCCCUGCCACCAUUGCUGCAGUGCAGACGCAUCCCAGAGAUUGAUUGGUUCGGGGGCUGAUCACAAGGCAUUUGUUUCACUGUUUCCCCAACCAUCUCAUCAGCAGUGAUUUCAGAGGAGGCUCUCCAGGAGCCUCCUAGAGGCUGACCACGGAGCCCAGCCUCGUAAGAACCUGGCAUCAACUGUCUUUCUGCAUAGUGUUUUUGUUAGUGUUACUUGUUCUUGUGUGUGUGUGUGUGUGUGUGUGUGUGUGUGUGAGUGUGCCACACCCCAGACACCAUCAUGGCUUGGCAGGAAACCCAUGGAAGAUACAGGGUGGACCAGGCAAACACAUUCUCCUGCUGCAGCCACCACCCCAGGGCCCACCUGGUGCCGGGCUAGCGGGCAGGGCCUGGGGCACCUGGAACAGUGGGGAGCACACAUCCCCCAGCAGUGAGCACCAUGCCCAGAGCCCACCACGCCUGCCUGCUGCGCUCUCAGAGCUGCAAAGGCCCCAGCCCUGGGCUGGUUUCUCAGGAGAAGUGCAGAUGGGCAGAAGAGCCCGGUCACCUCUGAAGAGGCCUGGCAUGUUGGGACCACCUCGUGCGGGGCUGGGCACCUCGGAGAAGUGAGGGACAGACACGGGAGGGCAAGUGGGAUCACAGAAACCACGGGGAGAGGCACAAAUAGCUCUUAGGGCUCAAUAAAUCUGAUGGUCUGCAACUGGAGGGUGGGGUCUCUAAUUUUUCAGAUGUUCCUAGAGUAGUGACCCCCACAAUGUCUGGUGUCAGACUGUGGGGAAUGAAUACCUAAUGAAGCCGGGUGUGGGGCGCACUCCUGUAAUCCCAGCACUCGGGAGGCUGAGGCAGGAGGAUCAUUGUGAGUUCGAGACCAGCCUGGGCUACAAAGUGAGCUCAAGGCCAACCUGAACUGCACAGCAAGACCCUGUCUCAAAAAGACAAACAAAACAACAAAACAAACCACCUGAUAAAUGUGUCCAUCUGGGUGGGCUCCCAGGUGACUUGAACCAAGUUACGAAGCUCUGUUUCUUAUUCACUUAGGUGGACAGGAAUCAUCGAGGGUCUAGUCAACAGGGCUGGGGUGUGGCCUUGGAGUUCCUGAUUUUCACAAGCUGGGACAAGGUUACAGAGGACAGCUAAGAGUUAGCCCAUGGACAGGGGCCACUCUGAGCAGGGCCUGGUAAGUGUGGAGCAUGGAUUUAUCCUGCAGGCCACAGUGAGGCUCAGGGUGAAUGUCUCCGCUCUACAGAGGCCUGCAGGUACUGGUAAACCUCUGUCCAGCAGACCAUCAGAUUUACUGGGUCUGGAAAUGGGUUCAGGAACCUAUGCUUUUAUUUUUACUUUUUUAUUUUUCAUUUUUUAAGAGCCAAAGUCUCUCUGCGUGGCUCAGUUUAGCUCCAAACUCCUGGGCUCAAGUGAUCUUCCUGCCUCAGCCACCCAAAGAGCUGCGACAGCAGGACAGUGCCACUAUGCCCGACAGAUACUGCAUUUUAAAAAACCAACAAUUCUUAACUGGCUUUAGUUUCUAUUCUCGAAUUGGCCAACACUUUAUCCCAUAAAGUAAGUGUUCCCAGCGAUCCGCAUUCCUGGCAACAGGAACAGAUAAGGGUGACCCCCCCAGACACUCUGAUGUUUCAUACCCCUCAUUUGCUGGGACUGCACGCUGUGGGUAUCUGAGGAGAAGGACGGUGAUGAGUGCAUUGUAAACCAGUCUGGCUUGGGGCAUCUCCGGGCAGAGAAGGCCAUGGAGCAAGAGGACACGUUUUGAAGAACUAAAUGAAGUUCUGUGGCUGGAGUGAUGGAGAUGAAGGGGAAGACAGAUUCCAGGGAGAAGAGAGCACUGGAACUUCCUUCUGCCUGGGCUUACACACAACUGGAAAUUUCUUGCCCUUUUAGUUGUAAUUUAAAUAUCACGUCCUCAGAAAGACUUCCUUGACAGCCCACUCAGUCUAGAGUAGUGAGUCAGUCAUUCUCUGUCAAAUCAUCCUGCACGGAUUCUCUGAGAAUCUCUGAUUACUCUUGGGUAUUUUCCCAUUUGUCUGUAUAUUUACUGUCUCCCUUCUCCACAGGAGACAUUCUCCCAAAAUGGCCGCCAUGGUGUCCUCCUCUCAUUGUACACACAGGCUGCUCCACUGGUCAAGAUGAGAGGCUAAUUUUUCCUUCUGUUGAAUCUGGGCUGGCCUGGUGAAUUCCUAGCACUUGAUCUGACUGAUAGAAUGAUACGGAAAAGAUGCUGUGCUAGUUUGGGGCCUAACUUUUCAAAAGGCUUGUUGUCAGUGCCAAUUUUACUCAUAGAAACCAGCUGCCCUGUAACAAAUCUGCCUAACUCAAGACCACCAUGUGAUGAGGAAGACCAAGCUCUCCAAAUGGAGAAGUACCUGAGAGACACAGGCCCUUCAGCCCAGCCCAGCUGUCAGAUGAGGGAGUACCCUUGGAUGAUGACAUCAAAUGAUAACAGUACACAGAAGAGCUGCCUAACCUCACCCUGACCCAAUGCCUGGCAGAGAACUGUGAGACAUAAAUCCCUAUUGUUUGAAGUCACUAGGCCUUGGAGAGGUUGUUUAGGCAGUGACAACAGACAGACACACCUUUCUGUUAGAAUGAAACUUUAUGAGUUUAGCCUGGCAGUGCCUGGCACAUACAUGGACUCCACAGAUAUUUGUGGAAUGUGUUUUGUUGUUUGAGGUUCUGGGCGAUAGAAAUCAAGCCUCCAAAAUGUUGGACAAGUGCUCUAUCAGUGAGCCACACUUCUAGCCUUGAAGGUGUGAAUCCAGGGAAAAAUGGAGUUGUCUAUUUGUCAGAGAUCUUGAUACAAACAAAAAAUACUGUUGGACAGUGAGUCCUGGAAACUAAGGAAUUGAAGAUAGAAAAUAGGAUUUUCCAGGUUCGCAUAUCAAUUCUGAGUUUUGAAGGCUAUAGAUGUGGCAGGAGAAAAGAAGGAGACAAAUGUCACUGAGGCUAAGGAGGUAAGCCCUCAAGGCUAGUCUGUGGCUGAAAUGCACGUAGAAAAAUUCAACUUUUGAGUUUGUUGUAGGGUCACACACCUCUAAUCUCAGUGUUCAGCAGGCCGAGCAGGAGGAUCCCUGCAAGUGUAAAGUCAGCCUGGGCUAUUUAGUGAGUUCAAGGCCAGCUUGAACUAUAUAGUAAAACCUUGUCUCAAAGAAAAAGAAAUUCAACCCUCCCAGGAUGGUGGGAGGCUCGUGCUGGGGAAGGCCCUGGAAAUUUCCACCAGAGGACUGUGAGAGGCCCAUGGGGCAGAUGGAAUCCAGGGAAGGAUCUAGUUUCAAAGAGGGCAAAAACGACUACAUGGGGAGUGUGCAGCAGUAGGAUAGAGAGACAUUCAUAAAGUAACAGGGUCUCAGGACAAAAAAGGGCACCCAGGACGAGCCCAAGAGGAGUACCAGGGAGACCGCAGUGGGAGACCAGAGAGACAGGUGCGUCGCAGCAGUGCCGGCUGAGGGUCAUGGCUCAGGCUUCACUCUGGGCAGAGUGCAGGACGACUCAGUGAGAUCACCAGGAAGGCAACCAGCCUCAAGGCUUUGGCUGGCCCGGAGGUAUAAAAAUGUGCGUUUCCUGCCAAGAUAUCCAGAAGACAGAUAAUGUUUGCUAUUGGCAGCAGAUGCAGCAAUCUGAGACCUUGGCUCACGAUUCCAAAUAAGACUCUGGUGAAAGCAUGCGGGUAGCGCUGUGGGUCCGCCAGGGCAGAAAGCUCCGGAGCUUGUAGACCUCAGGACAGCGACUCUGCCUGGACUGUGGGUCUCAAAGCCUCCGUCAGGCCUGUCCGAGUCAGCGCUUGGGCUGGCACGCUAGUGUCUAGAAUCUUUCAAAUUGUAUAAAAUGAUCAACUUAGCAUUGUUCUUUCCUGUUAUAAAAAGAAAAUACACGUAACAAAAACUUUGUCUUCAAAUUCCCAAAGCAAAAAGCUUCCCGCUUCUGUCCUGAGUGAGAUAUAACCCUUAACAUGCUCAUUGUGGGAACCCACAGCUGCCCUGAGCUCUUGGUUCUUGUCCUGAUCCUCAAGUCAAAUGGGACCUCGCAGAGGACAGGUGACAGAACUGAACAAUGGCGCUCUCAAACACUGGCAGGCAUUCAUUAAGCUCCAGCUCAUUCACUGGGCCUCUUUUGAUUUCAGGUGACAUAAGCAGCUUAGGCCAUGUAGGAAAUUUAUUGGUUCAUACAAAAGGAAAAAGAAGAGGGGAAGAUGGUGAAGGAGAGAGGGAAGAAGGAAGGAAGGGAGCAGAGAAGGAAGGAAGGAAGGAAGCAAGGAAGGAAGGAAGGAAGGAAGGAAGGAAGGACAGAUCAGGUCACUCCAACACUGAAAUGAUGCUGGCCCCCACGCCCAUCACCUCAGCUCUGCUUCCUCAGUGCCAACUUUCUCUUGGGCAGGGUUUCCCAACUGGUGAUCUUCAGGGGCAUUAGGCUUGCUUCCUGCUAAGUUGGCAGCACCCACAAAAAGCUACCUCCUCUCCUGCUGCAAUGUUCUGAGCAGUGUUUCUCAUUGGUUAUGCUUGGGUCUCAUGCUGUCCUUGAACCAAUCAUGACCAAGAGGGUGCAGUGCUCUCACUGGCCAGGUCAGCUCAGAGCUGUGUGUGGUAGUACACAUCUGUAAUCUAGCAUUCUGGGAGGCUGAAGCAGGAGGAUUGCAAGAUCAAGCCCAGCCUGGGCAAUUUAGCAACUUAGGGAGACCUUGUCAAAAAAGAAGGAAAGAGAAAGAAAGAAAGAAAGAAAGAAAGAAAGAAAGAAAGAAAGAAAAAGGAAAAGAAACAAA